UGCUUACCAAUUAUCUUAUAACUAAUAUCUUAAAUUUAUUAAAAUCCAUUCACAUUUUAUCAGUGAUUCUAUGUUUUAAUCCCUAUAGUACAUUGUUACCUGUUUUCUCACAUAUUUCACUCAUCACGAAUAGUGAUUUGACUAGGGACCUAAAUGCCCUGAAUAUCAGACAUACACAAACAAGCCUAAACAUUCGUACCAGAGAGUACUGUAUAAACAAAGACUGGGAGCAAACAAAACAAAUAUGGAUAUCAUUGUAAAACCAUAGCAAAAGUUGAAAUAGUUUCAAUCACAUUUUAGUGUAAUUCUAUUAAAUAAAUUAGCUUGAAAUUAUAUGUUCACCAUAUUCGCCUAAAAUAAAAAAAAAAAAAAGGUUUACUAAAAAAUGCUUCGAACUUCGCUUUAUAAGUUAAUGGUCAACCUGAGUCGUUGCGAGUAACAAGAUAAAAAAAAUAAAGGAUGUUUUGCUCUCUAAACACAUAUAGAGAUCAAGUUUAAUUCUUAUCCCCUCUAUUUGAUGUUAGUAGAAAACGAUAUAUUUAUGAAUUUCCAAAGCUAAAGAUAUCUUCAUGAAGAUAUUCUACUAAUCUAG
This 592-nucleotide long non-coding RNA is filed under the name Mytilus galloprovincialis (Mediterranean mussel). The record is from RNAcentral. Lineage: Eukaryota; Metazoa; Mollusca; Bivalvia; Mytilida; Mytilidae.